This 408-nucleotide ribosomal RNA is filed under the name uncultured bacterium. RNAcentral describes it as "bacterial SSU rRNA". It matches the Rfam family "Bacterial small subunit ribosomal RNA", at positions 9 to 419 of the family's 1533-position model. The record is from RNAcentral.
GAGUUUGAUCUUGGCUCAGAUUGAACGCUGGCGGCAUGCCUUACACAUGCAAGUCGAACGGCAGCGCGGGGCAACCUGGCGGCGAGUGGCGAACGGGUGAGUAAUAUAUCGGAACGUACCCUGGAGUGGGGGAUAACGUAGCGAAAGUUACGCUAAUACCGCAUACGAUCUAAGGAUGAAAGUGGGGGACGCGCAAGCACCUCAUGCUCCUGGAGCGGCCGAUAUCUGAUUAGCUAGUUGGUGGGGUAAAGGCCUACCAAGGCAUCGAUCAGUAGCUGGUCUGAGAGGACGACCAGCCACACUGGAACUGAGACACGGUCCAGACUCCUACGGGAGGCAGCAGUGGGGAAUUUUGGACAAUGGGCGAAAGCCUGAUCCAGCAAUGCCGCGUGAGUGAAGAAGGCCUUC